GAAGACCCAGAAGUAGGAGGAGAUCACACCAGGGAGGAUUUUCAGAUCUCCCUUUUUAUUCCUUUCAUACUGAAUUCUACUGGAAGACGCUGUGGUUGGCACCAAGACACAAGAAUGAACCGCCACAGCCUCCGGCCUCCUAGCUCACAGAGAGGAACGGUGACACUUGGUGACCCAGCGAUGAGAUCAGCGUUGCAUAUGUGCUUCAUUCGUUUUUAAAAAGUAGAAGAUACAAACAACUGAAAAGAAGAAAAUGAAACAUCUCUAUGCAGCCAGAUCUUGGUUUCUAAAUGCCAAUAUCCACUCCAAGCCACCAGUCCCCAUGGAGAAGUGGCUGAUUCCAAGGUUACAGCAUAGAGAGGCUGAGAGAAGUCUGGAACGUCUAAGCUGUGCCAAAAGGAAGACAAGAAGGGCUAAGCAGGCAAACACACAAAAAGAUUACGGAGCAUGUCAAAAAGGCACAGAAGCAUGCGUGAACAGCCCCCGCUGGGCAAACUGGCUCGACCUAGGAUAAAUUCUGAGCAUCAAGAUAAAAAUGGACAGUGAUGAAUCUUAAC
Non-coding RNA from Ictidomys tridecemlineatus (thirteen-lined ground squirrel), 557 nucleotides. Lineage: Eukaryota; Metazoa; Chordata; Mammalia; Rodentia; Sciuridae. The record is from RefSeq and is a predicted model, not a curated record.